GAGAGAAGAAAGUUGUUGCUGAGGGACUUCUGCUCUGCCCCCCUGCACCAGGUGACACACUUUCGUUGGUCAAGGUGUUCGUUACAUCUGCCUCAGUACCGGACACACCCCUUAUUUUGACGACAAUUGCUGGGGCGACUACUUUUCGGGUGGUUGUCAGUGAAGAUCCUAUUGAGUGGAACUAUAAGGACCUCAUGCACCACCCCUGAAGCAUAUCGACCGAUUCCUUUAUGUUUUGUCUCUGUUUGCCUUAUCAAUUGCAUGUCGUAGAUGUGCUUGGAUGGUAGGUUUUAAUGGCU
Andrographis paniculata is the source of this 299-nucleotide long non-coding RNA. RefSeq lists it as uncharacterized. The record is from RefSeq and is a predicted model, not a curated record. Lineage: Eukaryota; Viridiplantae; Streptophyta; Magnoliopsida; Lamiales; Acanthaceae. The transcript has 3 exons.